RNAcentral lists this ribosomal RNA (389 nucleotides) under Tripos sp. Its description in RNAcentral is "partial small subunit ribosomal RNA". It matches the Rfam family "Eukaryotic small subunit ribosomal RNA", at positions 582 to 975 of the family's 1831-position model. The record is from RNAcentral. Lineage: Eukaryota; Dinophyceae; Gonyaulacales; Ceratiaceae.
AUUCCAGCUCCAAUAGCGUAUAUUAAAGUUGUUGCGGUUAAAAAGCUCGUAGUUGGAUUUCUGCUGAAGCAAACCGGUCCGCCCUCUGGGUGAGCAUCUGGCUUUAUUUUGGCAUAUGCUUAGACUUUGCAGCUGCACUUGACUGUGUGGUGUGAAGGCUAAGCCAUUUACUUUGAGGAAAUCAGAGUGUUUCAAGCAGGCAAUUGCCUUGAAUACACUAGCAUGGAAUAAUAUGAUAUGACUGUGGUUUUAUUUUGUUGGCUUCUAGAAUUAGAGUAAUGGUUAAUAGGGAUAGUUGGGGGCAUUCAUAUUUAACUGUCAGAGGUGAAAUUCUUGGAUUUGUUAAGGAUGAACGACUGCGAAAGCAUUUGCCAAGGAUGCUUUCAUUG